UGCCCAAGAUCUUUAGCUAAUAGCAAAAUUGAAUUUGAUAAAAAUAUCUUUUUCUCUUUGUGUAAGGUGCUCCAUUUUGAGAUCGUUCUCCAUAUAUGAUCUUGAGUCUCUAAUAAUCUCUGUCAAGAGCUGAGCAUUGUUUGUGUGUUGACACUCAAAGAUUCUGCUACAUCUUUCCUUCCACAUCCACCAAAUAGCGCAU
RNAcentral lists this long non-coding RNA (202 nucleotides) under Musa acuminata (dwarf banana). Its description in RNAcentral is "long non-coding RNA (MACU_LNC009100)". The record is from RNAcentral. Lineage: Eukaryota; Viridiplantae; Streptophyta; Magnoliopsida; Zingiberales; Musaceae.